GCCAGGCAUGGUGGCGCAUGCCUGUAGUCCCAGCUACUAAGGAGGCUGAGGCAGGAGAAUUGCUUGAACCCAGGAGGCAGAGGUUGCAGUGAGCUGAGAUCGUGCCACUGCACUCCUGCCUGGGUAACAGAGCAAGACUCCAUCUCAA
RNAcentral lists this small RNA (148 nucleotides) under Pongo abelii (Sumatran orangutan). RNAcentral describes it as "Metazoan signal recognition particle RNA (ENSPPYG00000035793.1)". It matches the Rfam family "Metazoan signal recognition particle RNA". Rfam says of the family: The signal recognition particle (SRP) is a universally conserved ribonucleoprotein. It is involved in the co-translational targeting of proteins to membranes. The eukaryotic SRP consists of a 300-nucleotide 7S RNA and six proteins: SRPs 72, 68, 54, 19, 14, and 9. Lineage: Eukaryota; Metazoa; Chordata; Mammalia; Primates; Hominidae. The record is from Rfam by way of RNAcentral.